This 297-nucleotide ribosomal RNA is filed under the name Escherichia coli. RNAcentral describes it as "partial 23S ribosomal RNA". It matches the Rfam family "Bacterial large subunit ribosomal RNA", at positions 165 to 500 of the family's 2925-position model. The record is from RNAcentral. Lineage: Bacteria; Pseudomonadati; Pseudomonadota; Gammaproteobacteria; Enterobacterales; Enterobacteriaceae.
CAUAGGUUAAUGAGGCGAACCGGGGGAACUGAAACAUCUAAGUACCCCGAGGAAAAGAAAUCAACCGAGAUUCCCCCAGUAGCGGCGAGCGAACGGGGAGGAGCCCAGAGCCUGAAUCAGUGUGUGUGUUAGUGGAAGCGUCUGGAAAGGCGCGCGAUACAGGGUGACAGCCCCGUACACAAAAAUGCACAUGCUGUGAGCUCGAUGAGUAGGGCGGGACACGUGGUAUCCUGUCUGAAUAUGGGGGGACCAUCCUCCAAGGCUAAAUACUCCUGACUGACCGAUAGUGAACCAGUA